This 247-nucleotide non-coding RNA is filed under the name Paenibacillus polymyxa. Its description in RNAcentral is "T-box sequence". It matches the Rfam family "T-box leader". From Rfam's summary of the family: Uncharged tRNA acts as the effector for transcription antitermination of genes in the T-box leader family. Lineage: Bacteria; Bacillati; Bacillota; Bacilli; Caryophanales; Paenibacillaceae. The record is from RNAcentral.
UUAAAAGCUUCGAAAGGAAGUAGUAAACAGAAAACCCAUUAGAGAGCAGAACCAUGUUUACGCUGAGAGGUUCUGUUGGAAUGUAUCUGUUGAAGUCGUCCUGGAGCUGCCAAGUUGAAAUAAAAUUAGGCUUGGUCGGUCACAACCGUUAUCUGUUAAAGAGUUGUAUAUAAGGCAAAUCAUAAUUUGCUUGUCCUAUAUGCGAAACUAAGGUGGUACCGCGAGAGAACAGUCUUUCGUCCUUUGA